Long non-coding RNA from Pristis pectinata (smalltooth sawfish), 995 nucleotides. RefSeq lists it as uncharacterized. Lineage: Eukaryota; Metazoa; Chordata; Chondrichthyes; Rhinopristiformes; Pristidae. The record is from RefSeq and is a predicted model, not a curated record. The transcript has 5 exons.
ACCGCCUCCUUCCCAGCGGGAUAACGCUCCGUGGACUCGGGGCUGGAAUGUGGGCCGUGGGUCAGGUGGCGGCAGAAGCCCGGGACGAGUGCAGGUCCGUGUGGCCCGCACUCGCCGCCAACUUCUGCCACGGCUGAGGCACCUCCUAAUUUUCUGAAGUACACAGUUCCCCAGAGGUGAAACAGAACUUGCCUGUUCUGAUGGAACCUGGAAAGGGUUGUUCUCCGAAACUGUUGAAUCCAGAUUCGAGCCCUGAGGCUUAUGGAGUGCCAGAUGGAGAAAGAUGUCGUACCUCGAGUUUACAUUGGGCUUCAUUGAAACUGUAUAAGAGGCUACUCUGGGGAAAUGGAGGCAAUCGCAAUUAUGGAUUCAAGCAAUGGUGAGGAAGGUGGUUUUCGAAAUAAGUCUAUGCUUUGUUGUAACAUAAGUCUAUGCUUUGUUGUUCACUCAUUGGAUCUGUGACCUGACUGGAGGAGAGCUGCCGCUCUUUCAUGGAAAUUCUUCUCCGCCUGCCUGCAGCAGGAAAUGGUUUCAACACCUGCAGCAGUUUGUUUUUUUUUACAAAAAAAGCAUUAGGAAGUUGACCAGAAGAUUCUGUGGGAAGGUGUAGGGUGCAGCGUGUCAGCUAAACAGAUAUUCUUCAAGUUGCUCAGUUGUUUGAUCUCAAACUCUGAACUGUAAACCAUUUACUCAGUUGCCCAUACUUGAUGGACAAGGAAGAAAUGAAAGAGAACAAGUUAAUGUUUUUGAGAAGGAUUUUAUUGCAGGAUGUUACUCACAUUUAUCUUCAGAAUAAUGCCCAUAAAUUCUGAAACAUAAUUCACAUGAAUGUAGAAACAUUCUUGUUUCAGGUAAAUGAGAUACUUUUAUGUUCCAUUAUUUUUAAAUUGAAUGGAAGUGCUGAUUAAGAAAUAAAACAAAAAUGUUUACUGUUUGGAACUGUUAUGCUCAGUUGGUAUGGAAGAAUACCAGCUUUAUUUAUCCAGUUUAUUGUC